Long non-coding RNA from Clupea harengus (Atlantic herring), 582 nucleotides. The record is from Ensembl. Lineage: Eukaryota; Metazoa; Chordata; Actinopteri; Clupeiformes; Clupeidae.
GCUUAGCUAGUAAACCUAUUUAGUUGUGCUCAGUUCUUAACUGACAAGAAAUCUCAAGUAUGCUCUUGCGCUGUUCCCGAAAGAAAUGAGUUCAGUGCAUCUGACCCAUCUGACUACACAAUAGGGUUGACCUCUGCCCAGAGGUCGGAGAGCCAUCAGAGGAAAGAGGAAAGACGUAUAAUAACUUAGUACGAAGGAAAGGAGUCUAAUAACUUGGUACGAAGGAAAGGAGUCGAAUAACUUGGUACGAAGGAAAGGAGUCUAAUAACUUGGUACGAAGGAAAGGAGUCUAAUAACUUGGUACGAAGGAAAGGAGUCUAAUAACUUGGUACGAAGGAAAGGAGUCGAAUAACUUGACUUCCCAUUGGGGCUCACAGAUUACUCCAUUGCUUUAACCUGGACAAAUUACCUGGACAAUCACCACCUAACCUAUCAACGGGAUUGAGGGGCAAAGAGGAGGGGUAUAAGAAGAGGAAGCUGUAGAAUUACUGGGUGCCCGGUGGGGACCGCGAAACGGUGACGGACGGACGGACGGACAAACGAACGAACGAACGAACGAACCGAAUUGGGCUGCAACUAGAA